GCAGAGCAUCCUACGGGAGGCAGCAGUGGGGAAUAUUGCUACAAUGGGCGCAAGCCUGAUGCAGCCAUGCCGCGUGUAUGAAGAAGGCCUUCGGGUUGUAAAGUACUUUCAGCAGUGAGGAAGGUGGAUAUGUUAAUAGCAUAUUCAUUUGACGUUAGCUGCAGAAGAAGCACCGGCUAACUCCGUGCCAGCAGCCGCGGUAAUACGGAGGGUGCGAGCGUUAAUCGGAAUUACUGGGCGUAAAGCGCAUGCAGGUGGUUUGUUAAGUCAGAUGUGAAAGCCCGGGGCUCAACCUCGGAAUUGCAUUUGAAACUGGCAAACUAGAGUACUGUAGAGGGGGUAGAAUUUCAGGUGUAGCGGUGAAAUGCGUAGAGAUCUGAAGGAAUACCGGUGGCGAAGGCGGCCCCCUGGACAGAUACUGACACUCAGAUGCGAAAGCGUGGGGAGCAAACAGGAUUAGAUACCCUGGUAG
Molecule: ribosomal RNA, 472 nt
Filed under: uncultured bacterium
Lineage: Bacteria
Description: bacterial SSU rRNA
Rfam family: Bacterial small subunit ribosomal RNA
Source: RNAcentral